ACCUGGCUCACACCGGUUUAAACUCAGAUCAUGUAAAAUUUUAAAGGUCGAACAGACCUAAUUUAUUAGCUUCUCCACCAAUAAUUUAUUUUAAUCCAACAUCGAGGUCGCAAUCUUUUUUUUCGAUAAGAACUCUAAAAAAAAUUACGCUGUUAUCCCUAAGGUAAUUUAAUCUUUUAAUCUAAACUUUAGGAUCAUAUACUCAUAAAUAAAUGGCUUCUUUUAAAAAAAGUUAUUCUAAUUUUUUAAUCACCCCAAUAAAAUAUUGUUUUGCUAAAAUAAUCUGGUAAACCUCCAUUUCAAUUAACUAAAAAUAUAAAACUCUAUAGGGUCUUCUCGUCUUCUAUAUAAAUUUAAGCUUUUUAACUUAAAAAUAAAAUUCUAAUUAACUUUUAUAGAGACAGAAACUUUCUCAUCAAACCUUUCAUUCUAGCUUCCAAUUAAAAAACUAAUGAUUAUGCUACCUUUGCACGGUCAACGUACCGCGGCCAUUCAAUUACUCAUUGGGCAGGUCAGACCUAAAAUUAUAUUCAAUAAGCC
This 540-nucleotide ribosomal RNA is filed under the name Trigonopterus sp. 608 MB-2015. RNAcentral describes it as "partial 16S ribosomal RNA". Lineage: Eukaryota; Metazoa; Arthropoda; Insecta; Coleoptera; Curculionidae. The record is from RNAcentral.